ACGGCUCAGUAACACGUGGACAACCUACCCUGAGGUCGGGGAUAAACCCGGGAAACUGGGUAUAAUACCCGAUAGAUCUAGAUUGCUGGAAUGCUUUUAGGUCUAAAGUUCCGACGCCUCAGGAUGGGCCUGCGGCCUAUCAGGGUAGUAGUGGGUGUAACGUACCUACUAGCCCACGACGGGUACGGGUUGUGAGAGCAAGAGCCCGGAGAUGGAUUCUGAGACACGAAUCCAGGCCCUACGUGGUGCAGCAGGCGCGAAACCUUUACAAUGCUGGCAACAGCGAUAAGGGGACCUCGAGUGCUACGAUACAAUCGUGGCUGUCUAGUUGCCUAAAAAGCAAUUGAUAGCAAGGGCCGGGCAAGACCGGUGCCAGCCGCCGCGGUAACACCGGCGGCUCGAGUGGUAACCGCUAUUAUUGGGUCUAAAGGGUCUGUAGCCGGCUUAGUUAGUCUCUUGAGAAAUCUGGCCGCUCAACGGUCAGGCGUUCAGGGGAUACUGCUAAAGCUCGAGACCGGGAGAGGUGAGAGGUACUUCAGGGGUAGGGGUGAAAUCUUGUAAUCCUUGAAGGACCACCAGUGGCGAAGGCGUCUCACCAGAACGGAUCUGACGGCAAGGGACGAAAGCUAGGGGCACGAACCGGAUUAGAUACCCGGGUAGUCCUAGCCGUAAACGAUACUCGCUAGGUGUCGGCCACGGUGCGACCGUGGUCGGUGCCGUAGGGAAGCCGUGAAGCGAGCCACCUGGGAAGUACGGCCGCAAGGCUGAAACUUAAAGGAAUUGGCGGGGGAGCAC
Molecule: ribosomal RNA, 795 nt
Filed under: uncultured archaeon
Lineage: Archaea
Description: bacterial SSU rRNA
Rfam family: Archaeal small subunit ribosomal RNA
Source: RNAcentral